Non-coding RNA from Pelobates cultripes (western spadefoot toad), 135 nucleotides. Lineage: Eukaryota; Metazoa; Chordata; Amphibia; Anura; Pelobatidae. The record is from the annotation of a GenBank genome assembly.
GCCGCAGGGGGAGAUGGCUGUUGUGUCUCUGCUCCCCCUCACUCACGCGCCGCACAGUGAGGCUAGGAGCCGGAAUAUGACGUCUCUUUAAGCGGCGCGCAGGGGAGGGGGAGCAGAGACACAACAGCUAGCUCC